This 615-nucleotide ribosomal RNA is filed under the name uncultured bacterium. RNAcentral's name for it is "bacterial SSU rRNA". It matches the Rfam family "Bacterial small subunit ribosomal RNA", at positions 338 to 944 of the family's 1533-position model. The record is from RNAcentral.
CCUACGGGAGGCAGCAGUGGGGAAUUUUGGACAAUGGGCGCAAGCCUGAUCCAGCCAUGCCGCGUGCGGGAAGAAGGCCUUCGGGUUGUAAACCGCUUUUGUCAGGGAAGAAAAGGUUCUGGUUAAUACCUGGGACUCAUGACGGUACCUGAAGAAUAAGCACCGGCUAACUACGUGCCAGCAGCCGCGGUAAUACGUAGGGUGCAAGCGUUAAUCGGAAUUACUGGGCGUAACGCGUGCGCAGGCGGUUAUGCAAGACAGAGGUGAAAUCCCCGGGCUCAACCUGGGAAUUGCCUUUGUGACUGCAUAGCUAGAGUACGGUAGAGGGGGAUGGAAUUCCGCGUGUAGCAGUGAAAUGCGUAGAUAUGCGGAGGAACACCGAUGGCGAAGGCAAUCCCCUGGACCUGUACUGACGCUCAUGCACGAAAGCGUGGGGAGCAAACAGGAUUAGAUACCCUGGUAGUCCACGCCCUAAACGAUGUCAACUGGUUGUUGGGAGGGUUUCUUCUCAGUAACGUAGCUAACGCGUGAAGUUGACCGCCUGGGGAGUACGGCCGCAAGGUUGAAACUCAAAGAGUAGUGCGNGNGAGAGCGACGACGACGACGAGGAGGAGG